RNAcentral lists this ribosomal RNA (840 nucleotides) under bacterium. RNAcentral's name for it is "bacterial SSU rRNA". It matches the Rfam family "Bacterial small subunit ribosomal RNA", at positions 55 to 903 of the family's 1533-position model. The record is from RNAcentral.
AUAUAAGUCGAGCGGAUCUUCAUUACUUGUUUUUGAUAUCAGCGGCAGACGGGAGAGUACACGUGGGCAACCUGCCUGUAAGGUGGGAUAACUUCGGGAAACCAGAGCUAAUACCAGAUAAUCCUUUCCCUCUCUGAGGGAAAGCUGAAAGACGGUUUCGGCUGUCACUUACAGAUGGGCCCGCGGCGCAUUAUCUAUUUGGAGAGGUAACGGCUCACCAGGGCGAAUGCAUACCACCUGAGAGGGAGAUCGGCCACUGGGACUGACACACGGCCCACACUCCUACGGGAGGCAGCAGUAGGGAAUCUUCCGCAAUGGACGAAAGUCAGACAGAGCAACGCCGCGUGAGCGAUGAAGGCCUUCGGGUCGUAAAGCUCUGUUGUCAGGAAAGAACAAGUACCAGAGUAACUGCCGGUACCUUGACGGUACCUGACCAGAAAGCCACGGCUAACUACGUGCCAGCAGCCGCGGUAAUACAUGUGGCAAGCGUUGUCCGGAAUUAUUGGGCGUAAAGCGCGCGCGCGGUUCCUUAAGUCAGAUGUGAAAGCCCCCGGCUCAACCGGAGAGGGUCAUUGGAAACUGGGAAACUUGAGUGCAGAAGAGGAGAGCGGAAUUCCACGUGUAGCGGAGAAAUGCAUAGAGAUGUAGAGGAACACCAGUGGCAAAGGCGUCUCUCUGGUCUACUGACUCUGACGCGCGAAAGCGUGGAGAGCAAACAAGAUUAGAUACCCUGGUAGUCCACGCCGUAAACUAUGAGUGCUAGUGUUAGAGGGUUCCGCCCUUUAGUGCUGCACACACGCAUUAACACUCCCCCUGGAGAGUACGGCCGCGCUGAACUCA